Molecule: long non-coding RNA, 279 nt
Filed under: Ananas comosus (pineapple)
Lineage: Eukaryota; Viridiplantae; Streptophyta; Magnoliopsida; Poales; Bromeliaceae
Description: long non-coding RNA (ACOM_LNC025949)
Source: RNAcentral
UUAGCGAGGAAGCCUACUAUGUCACGCUUACAUCAUAUAAGCAAUAACAAAUCAAUCACAUUUCUUUUUUAAAAAAUGUACAAUAAAAAUAUUUUUUUAUAAUUAUGAUGUGAAAUAUAGCCUUUUUGCAUAAAAAAUUCACUAAUUUUGGGCUUUUGCAAAUUUGGGUCACCUUUUUGAUUUUGCAGAUUUGGUUCGAAUUUUUAGCAAAUUGAUCAAAAUACCUUUAUUACUUUUUCUCUCUUCUCUUUUUUUUUUCGUUUUUUUUUCUCUUUCCGA